Lineolata rhizophorae is the source of this 95-nucleotide non-coding RNA. The record is from the annotation of a GenBank genome assembly. NCBI's taxonomy places the organism in Eukaryota, Fungi, Ascomycota, Dothideomycetes, Lineolatales, Lineolataceae.
GGGGUUGUGGCGUAGUUGGGAGCGCGUUAGACUGAAGGCGCUAGAACGGUCUUCUGGUUAUCUAAAGGUCACCGGUUCAAUCCCGGUCAACCCCA